UUGAUCCUGGCUCAGAAUGAACGCUGGCGGCGUGCUUAACACAUGCAAGUCGAACGAGAAAUCUUUAGCUUGCUAGAGAAAGUAAAGUGGCGCACGGGUGAGUAACGCGUGGGUAAUCUGCCUCCGAAUCGGGGAUAACAUUGCGAAAGCGAUGCUAAUACCGGAUAAAAUCUGGUUGGCUUCGGUGAACCGGAUCAAAGGUGGUCUCUUUUAAAAAGCUACCGUUUGGAGAUGAGCUCGCGUACCAUUAGCUUGUUGGUGGGGUAAAGGCUCACCAAGGCGACGAUGGUUAGCUGGUCUGAGAGGAUGAUCAGCCACACCGGAACUGGAACACGGUCCGGACUCCUACGGGAGGCAGCAGUGAGGAAUUUUGCGCAAUGGGGGAAACCCUGACGCAGCAACGCCGCGUGAGUGAUGAAGGCUUUCGGGUCGUAAAGCUCUGUCAGGUGGGAAGAACCCACCAGGUGUAAACAUCACCUGGUGCUGACGGUACCACCGAAGGAAGCACCGGCUAACUCCGUGCCAGCAGCCGCGGUAAUACGGGGGGUGCGAGCGUUAUUCGGAAUCAUUGGGCGUAAAGGGCGCGCAGGCGGUUUUGUAAGUCAGAUGUGAAAUCCCGGGGCUUAACCCCGGAAGUGCAUAUGAAACUAUGAGACUUGAGUAUGGGAGAGGGAAGCGGAAUUCCUGGUGUAGCGGUGAAAUGCGUAGAUAUCAGGAGGAACACCGGUGGCGAAGGCGGCUUCCUGGACCAAUACUGACGCUGAGGCGCGAAGGCGUGGGGAGCGAACAGGAUUAGAUACCCUGGUAGUCCACGCAGUAAACGUUGAUCACUAGGUGUAGCGGGUAUUGAGCCCUGCUGUGCCGGAGUUAACGCAUUAAGUGAUCCGACUGGGGAGUACGAUCGCA
Molecule: ribosomal RNA, 906 nt
Filed under: uncultured organism
Description: bacterial SSU rRNA
Rfam family: Bacterial small subunit ribosomal RNA
Source: RNAcentral